RNAcentral lists this ribosomal RNA (497 nucleotides) under uncultured bacterium. Its description in RNAcentral is "partial 16S ribosomal RNA". It matches the Rfam family "Bacterial small subunit ribosomal RNA", at positions 28 to 507 of the family's 1533-position model. The record is from RNAcentral.
GAUGAACGCUGGCGGCGUGCCUAAUACAUGCAAGUCGAGCGAACAGACGAGGAGCUUGCUCCUCUGACGUUAGCGGCGGACGGGUGAGUAACACGUGGAUAACCUACCUAUAAGACUGGGAUAACUUCGGGAAACCGGAGCUAAUACCGGAUAAUAUAUUGAACCGCAUGGUUCAAUAGUGAAAGACGGUUUUGCUGUCACUUAUAGAUGGAUCCGCGCCGCAGUAGCUAGUUGGUAAGGUAACGGCUUACCAAGGCGACGAUGCGUAGCCGACCUGAGAGGGUGAUCGGCCACACUGGAACUGAGACGCGGUCCAGACUCCUACGGGAGGCAGCAGUAGGGAAUCUUCCGCAAUGGGCGAAAGCCUGACGGAGCAACGCCGCGUGAGUGAUGAAGGUCUUCGGAUCGUAAAACUCUGUUAUUAGGGAAGAACAAAUGUGUAAGUAACUAUGCACGUCUUGACGGUACCUAAUCAGAAAGCCACGGCUAACUACGUG